Molecule: small nuclear RNA, 91 nt
Organism: Scleropages formosus (Asian bonytongue)
Lineage: Eukaryota; Metazoa; Chordata; Actinopteri; Osteoglossiformes; Osteoglossidae
Source: Ensembl
GUGCUAGCUGUGGCAGCACAUAUUUGAAAUCUGGAAUGGUACAAAGAAGAUUAGCAUGGCUCCCGCGCAAGGAUGACUUUUCCACAUUUUG